RNAcentral lists this ribosomal RNA (252 nucleotides) under uncultured bacterium. RNAcentral describes it as "partial 16S ribosomal RNA". It matches the Rfam family "Bacterial small subunit ribosomal RNA", at positions 525 to 776 of the family's 1533-position model. The record is from RNAcentral.
ACGGAGGGUGCAAGCGUUAAUCGGAAUUACUGGGCGUAAAGCGCGCGUAGGCGGCUAUUUAAGUCGGAUGUGAAAGCCCUGGGCUCAACCUGGGAACUGCAUUCGAUACUGGGUAGCUAGAGUAUAGGAGAGGAGUGUGGAAUUUCAGGUGUAGCGGUGAAAUGCGUAGAGAUCUGAAGGAACACCAGUGGCGAAGGCGACACUCUGGCCUAAUACUGACGCUGAGGUGCGAAAGCGUGGGGAGCAAACAGG